RNAcentral lists this non-coding RNA (131 nucleotides) under Bacteroidota bacterium. RNAcentral describes it as "Bacteroidetes bacterium MoCo sequence". It matches the Rfam family "Molybdenum/Tungsten riboswitch aptamer (Moco RNA motif)". The record is from RNAcentral. Lineage: Bacteria; Pseudomonadati; Bacteroidota.
UCAUGCACUAUUCUCCGAGCUCUUUUACCUUCCCUUUAUGGUGGUAAAAAAGUCUGGGAUAAGUUGGAAACGACUUAUCCUCCCGCGCCAGCAAAUUCUGGCAAAUUGGAAAGGAGGUGAUUAAUAAAAGC